This 253-nucleotide ribosomal RNA is filed under the name uncultured bacterium. Its description in RNAcentral is "partial 16S ribosomal RNA". It matches the Rfam family "Bacterial small subunit ribosomal RNA", at positions 524 to 776 of the family's 1533-position model. The record is from RNAcentral.
UACGGAGGGUGCAAGCGUUAUCCGGAUUCACUGGGUUUAAAGGGUGCGUAGGCGGGCAGGUAAGUCCGUGGUGAAAUCUCUGAGCUUAACUCAGAAACUGCCAUGGAUACUAUUUGUCUUGAAUAUUGUGGAGGUAAGCGGAAUAUGUCAUGUAGCGGUGAAAUGCUUAGAUAUGACAUAGAACACCGAUAGCGAAGGCAGCUUACUACAGGAUGAUUGACGCUGAGGCACGAAAGCGUGGGGAGCAAACAGG